This 64-nucleotide transfer RNA is filed under the name Marmota monax (woodchuck). RNAcentral's name for it is "tRNA.Thr". Lineage: Eukaryota; Metazoa; Chordata; Mammalia; Rodentia; Sciuridae. The record is from RNAcentral.
GGUGGUUCAGUGGCAGAGUGCCCGCCUAGUAUGUGUGAGGCACUGGGUUCAAUCCUCAGCACCA